RNAcentral lists this ribosomal RNA (279 nucleotides) under uncultured Staphylococcus sp. Its description in RNAcentral is "partial 16S ribosomal RNA". It matches the Rfam family "Bacterial small subunit ribosomal RNA", at positions 505 to 783 of the family's 1533-position model. The record is from RNAcentral. Lineage: Bacteria; Bacillati; Bacillota; Bacilli; Caryophanales; Staphylococcaceae.
GUGCCAGCCGCCGCGGUAAUACGUAGGUGGCAAGCGUUAUCCGGAAUUGUUGGGCGUAAAGCGCGCGUAGGCGGUUUUUUAAGUCUGAUGUGAAAGCCCACGGCUCAACCGUGGAGGGUCAUUGGAAACUGGAAAACUUGAGUGCAGAAGAGGAAAGUGGAAUUCCAUGUGUAGCGGUGAAAUGCGCAGAGACAUGGAGGAACACCAGUGGCGAAGGCGACUUUCUGGUCUGUAACUGACGCUGAUGUGCGAAAGCGUGGGGAUCAAACAGGAUUAGAU